Molecule: ribosomal RNA, 119 nt
Filed under: Pteropus alecto (black flying fox)
Lineage: Eukaryota; Metazoa; Chordata; Mammalia; Chiroptera; Pteropodidae
Source: RNAcentral
GUCUAUGGCCAUGCCACCCUGAAUGUGCCCGAUCUCAUCUGAUCUCAGAAGCUAAGCAGGGUCGGGCCUGGUUAGUACUUGGAUGGGAAACCAUCUAGGAAUACCAGGUGCUGUAGGCA